GAUGAACGCUGGCGGCGUGCCUAAUACAUGCAAGUCGAACGCGCAGCGAAAGGUGCUUGCACCUUUCAAGCGAGUGGCGAACGGGUGAGUAACACGUGGAUAACCUGCCUCAAGGCUGGGGAUAACAUUUGGAAACAGAUGCUAAUACCGAAUAAAACUUAGUAUCGCAUGAUACAAGGUUAAAAGGCGCUACGGCGUCACCUAGAGAUGGAUCCGCGGUGCAUUAGUUAGUUGGUGGGGUAAAGGCUUACCAAGACGAUGAUGCAUAGCCGAGUUGAGAGACAGAUCGGCCACAUUGGGACUGAGACACGGCCCAAACGCCUACGGGAGGCUGCAGUAGGGAAUCUUCCACAAUGGGCGCAAGCCUGAUGGAGCAACGCCGCGUGUGUGAUGAAGGCUUUCGGGUCGUAAAGCACUGUUGUAUGGGAAGAAAUGCUAAAAUAGGGAAUGAUUUUAGUUUGACGGUACCAUACCAGAAAGGGACGGCUAAAUACGUGCCAGCAGCCGCUGUAA
RNAcentral lists this ribosomal RNA (513 nucleotides) under uncultured bacterium. Its description in RNAcentral is "partial 16S ribosomal RNA". It matches the Rfam family "Bacterial small subunit ribosomal RNA", at positions 28 to 523 of the family's 1533-position model. The record is from RNAcentral.